Molecule: long non-coding RNA, 1552 nt
Organism: Sitodiplosis mosellana (orange wheat blossom midge)
Lineage: Eukaryota; Metazoa; Arthropoda; Insecta; Diptera; Cecidomyiidae
Exons: 3
Source: RefSeq, a predicted model, not a curated record
AAAUGAUGUAGGUACUGUACAUUUCAUACUAACAAGUGAUUGUGUUUGUAUUCUGUCGUUUACAAAUUAUACGGUGUUUUCGAGGCGUUUUACCCAAAAUCAAGUUUAAGAGUCACGAAAAUUUUGAAUUAGAACAACAUGUCAUAAAUUACAUAAACGUAACCUGUUCAAAUUCAAUAAAAUGUAUGGAAGCUGUGAUUGGUCUGAAAAAUCCAUUUUCAGAAGUUGAUGGCUUAUAUUUGAGUGAAUGUCAUGCAUAUUAUUGGAAAAAAUAUUUUUUUUCAUUAACAUAUUAUUUUUUCACACUUUCAAAAAAUUGAAGAAGAAAAAAUUGGCCCAAUUAAUUCAAAACGAAAAAAAAAACAACAUUAAAUUGCAUCCACUUUCAAAAAUUGUAAAUAUUCGCGCGUUUUAUUAACCACUUUAUACACCUGGGCAUCAUCCUUCCAUCUUCUUGUACGUCCGAGAUGAUCCGAAAAAAAUCAACAUUGCCGAUGUUGCAAAACCGACGGAAGGAGUGGUCAACGCAUUGAAAAAUGUGCAAAGCAUCGGUCUCGUCUCGGACAUUGUUAUGAAUGACAUUGCACCAUGCAUCAGCAAUGAUUCAUCUGAUGUAAAUUGAUUUUUGUUGUUGUUUAUAAAUUUGAUGUUUUUUUUUUCUCUCGUUCUAACACAUCAGUUUUCUCAAAUUUAGCCGUGCUGAACGAUGAAGAGAAAAAGUCGAAUCUGGAAUUUUUGAAUUGGGUGGUGAACAAGAAGUUUUUAGUGGUGAAAAAACAAGAAAAUAUUCCCGACGAUUUGAAAAAUUGGUCCGAGGAUCAUGUGCAAAUUUGGUUGAAAUGGGCUGUCAACCAGUUUGUCUUACGUUUGCAGGAGAAUGAUUGGCGUAUAACGGGCAAGGAAUUGUGCAAAUUGUCGUUGCAUGAUUUUCAAAAGAAAAUUCCGCGCGAUCCGGGCAAUAAAUUUUUGACACACUUGGAACUAUUGCGUAAAGGUCAUUUCGUUGCCAUUCCAGUUGACCCAAAAUCGGCCGAAGCUUAGAAGACAACACGAAAGCCAUCGGCAGCGUUGGGACAAUUUCACGAUCGAAACCAGGAAAUCGUACCGGAAACAAUGGCCAGAUUCUGUUGUGGCAAUUUUUGUUGGAGAUUUUGACUGACAAAAAACAUCGCAACAUCAUCCAGUGGCAUGGCAAUGAGGGAGAAUUUAAGUUGGUUGACUCGGAUCGUGUGGCAGCACUGUGGGACAAACGCAAAAACCAGUCAACUAUAAAUUAUGGGAGAUUAUCACGUGCCUUGCGCUAUUAUUACAACGGAGACAUACUUUCGAUAGGCAAGAAAUUUGUGUACAAAUUCAUCUGCGAUUUAAAGCAAUUAACUGGAUGCAGCGCAAAACAGAUGUCCGACCUCGUUAACGGUGUUCCGAGACAGUCACGGGCACAUUAAUACCAAGAAAGUGCAACUAAUUAAGAUUAUUCAAAACUCGGAUGGCAAUUUCACAAAUCAAUUUGGAUGAAUAAAGAAAAUCAAUUCUGAAGAAUUGAAAAAGAAAA